AUCUAAAAACUUUCGAACCCUAAUCGAUAGACUCUCACUCUGAGUCUCUGACUGCCUCCUUCACGUCCCCGACUUGAGCUCAUUCUCCAACCUGAGCUCGUUCUCCACGUUCAGCUCUUUCUCUCUCGCUCUUCUCUGAAACCCUAGCGCUCUCCUCCCUCUCCUGCUCUCUUUCCAUGCUACUGUCUCUCCCUUAUUGAACUACUGCCUCCGUCCCCUCACCGGCUCCAUCGCCUCUGCCGGUGCUUCUCUUCCAACGCCACCACGUCGUUGCUCCGAGAUACGAACCCCAACUGGUCCAACCUGCCUCCAAGGAGUUUAUCCUCCUCGAUUGGUGUGACUUCAAGCACCAAAUGCCAGCAUGGUUCUAAAGCUCGCCUCUCUCUCCCGCAGCCCCGCUCUCCCCUCUCUCUCUCUCUCUCUCUCUCUCUCUCUCUCUCUCUCUCCGGCACGGCCGUACGACGCCUUUUCUUUCUUCGACGGUGACGCCGUGAUGGACUGACGGUGCGCGGUGAGUCUGGGUUUCUGUUUCUCUUAAUUUCUGCUUCUGGGUCUUCACUCUUUAAUCGAUUUAUGGCUUCCUCUUAAUUUCUGCUUCUGGGUAUUCAAUUUUCAAUCUUCAAGUCUGGGUUUGGCUCGAACUCUACUAGGUGAAGCAACUUCAAUUUCAGUUUUUGACUCGAUUUCGGAAACUUCAAGCUUGAGAUAGGUGAAGCAGUCAAGGUAAUGGUUCCGGAGUCUGUUCUAAAGAACAGGAAGAAAGAGGAGGAAUGGGCCUUGGCAAAGAAGCAGGGGGCUUGAAGCUGCCAAGAAGAAGAAUGCUGAGAAUAGAAAGCUUAUUUACAACAAAUUCAAACAGUACACCAAGGAGUACACAGAGAAGUAAGUCGUCGGCAAAAAUGGUUUCCUUCGAGAUGAAUGAUCGGAAAAGUGGUUGUUUUGAGCAAGAAGCUUGGUUUUCUGUUGUGACUAAACGUUGAGAACUGCUUUGCUUAUUUUCAUCCUGCAGCACUCAGAGCUUUUUGUGAGAUGCUUUUCACGAAGAGAAGAGCAAACGUGAAAGAAGAAAAGAAAACAAAGUUUUGACUAUGGAAUUGUUGGCUGUGGCAUAUUCGUCCCUUGUAGCCAAAAUGGAGGAGAUUAUAUAUAGGUUGGUCAUAUGCUGGAAUUUUCAGCCACACAGAAGUAUUCUCUUGCAUCUAAUUCAACUUACAAUGUGGAAGAGGCUGGUGAUCUGUAAGGCAGAAAUUGAGGAAUGUAUAGAUUUGAUAAUGGAAGAAUUAGAGAGAGUUUGUAAGAGUUAGUGAAAAAGUUUGUGAACCAGCUUUUAUGAUAUGUAAAACGAUAGCAUAUUCGGCAAAUAUUAUAAGAUUGUGAUUACUACUCUUAUCGCCUAAA
Rosa chinensis is the source of this 1398-nucleotide long non-coding RNA. RefSeq lists it as uncharacterized. The transcript has 5 exons. The record is from RefSeq and is a predicted model, not a curated record. Lineage: Eukaryota; Viridiplantae; Streptophyta; Magnoliopsida; Rosales; Rosaceae.